CUGUUAUUUUCAAAUAAUUUACAUUCCAGAAUAUAAUGAUAUUCGUCACCAAUACAGUUAUUAUUACAUUUCAAACAUUUUCUAUUUUCCCUUUCUAUACCAUUCCACCGUCCUGUUUCUGUAGGAAGUCUAUGAUUUGUGGUUCUAAACCUGCACACCGUAUAGAUAUCUUUAUCUUCCAAUAUAUUUAAAAAACAUUCAAACUGAAAUGUCUCCUUAAAUAAUCUAUAAUUUAUAGAUUUUGGUGAAUUUAACAUAAGUGCAUGCCAUUCCUGUCUAAAUUGAUCAUGUAGGCGCAUCUUUAUCGAAGGGAUAAGCCAAUCUGAGCUAGGAAAAAAGCUGAGCUGUCCAAAUAUAGGAAAAGCCAGUAUCAUCAAACACGUUUCUUAAAAACUUUAACCAUGGCGAUUCAAAAUGAUUGUCGAUCGACAAUUUGUAUAAUAAUUGAUAAGAUAAAUAAGACAGUUUUGAAUCCUUUCCAGAUAAAAGUCGUGUCCAAAAUGCAAUCAUUUUUAGUUUGAUAUCUAGUUGAACAGGAAAAAUGCCAAGUUCACCAUAAAUCAUAUAGUUUGGGGUGGAUGAUUUUAACUUAAAUAACAAUUUACAAAAUCGUAAUUGUACCCUUUCAAUACAUUGAAUAUGUUUACAAAAUCCCCAUACUUCUGAGCCAUACAAAAGAAUGGGCUUUACCAUUUUAUUAAAAAGUUCUAGUUGACAUUCAAUUGCUAAAUUAUGAAUGCGACCUCUUUUUAAAACCUCAUACAUUGCUUUUGUUGCCUUCUCUGCUUGCUUUUUUAUUGCCUUACUAAAAUUGCCGGUCCUGCUAAAUAGUAUACCAAGAUAGUUAAAUUCAUGAACUAUAUCUAUAUCUGCCCCAUUUAAGGAAAAAUUUAAAUCUGCACAAGGCCUUCCCCUGGAAAAUACCAUGACUUUGGUUUUGUUAACAUUUACCUUCAGUUUCCAUAUAUUACAGUACUCUCCAAAUUUGUUUAAUAUUUUUUGUAAGUCUUCUUUUGAUUCAGACAUUAGGACCGUAUCGUCUG
RNAcentral lists this long non-coding RNA (1043 nucleotides) under Mytilus galloprovincialis (Mediterranean mussel). The record is from RNAcentral. Lineage: Eukaryota; Metazoa; Mollusca; Bivalvia; Mytilida; Mytilidae.